This 397-nucleotide ribosomal RNA is filed under the name uncultured bacterium. Its description in RNAcentral is "partial 16S ribosomal RNA". It matches the Rfam family "Bacterial small subunit ribosomal RNA", at positions 523 to 918 of the family's 1533-position model. The record is from RNAcentral.
AUACGUAGGGGGCGAGCGUUGUCCGGAAUUAUUGGGCGUAAAGAGCGUGUAGGCGGUUCGGUAAGUCUGCCGUGAAAACCUGGGGCUCAACCCCGGGCGUGCGGUGGAUACUGCCGGGCUAGAGGGUGGUAGAGGCGAGUGGAAUUCCCGGUGUAGCGGUGAAAUGGGCAGAUAUCGGGAGGAACACCAGUAGCGAAGGCGGCUCGCUGGGCCAUUCCUGACGCUGAGACGCGAAAGCUAGGGGAGCGAACAGUAUUAGAUCCCCUGGUAGUCCUAGCCGUAAACGAUGAACACUAGGUGUGGGGGGAGUCGAAUCCCUCUGUGCCGCAGCCAACGCGUUAAGUGUUCCGCCUGGGGAGUACGGCCGCAAGGCUAAAACUCAAAUGAAUUGACGGGG